UGGGAGAGAGGAGGGGUGCAGCUCAUCCACGCAGCGGCUAAACGCUUCCUGGUCAGCGGGUUUUGAGCUUGGCACCGCGCUGACUCUGCGGACUUAUCGCCCCCGAACGCGUUUGAGUUUAGCGCCGACGGGAAAGUGUCAAGCAGCAGAAAAAAAACGGGACGAGGAUCAACUCAAAAAAACCCUGAGUCACUCCAGCUUUGACCCUCGUCUUGACUGAUUUACCAAAAAGAUCAAAGAACCCACAGGUCAAAACAGAUUCAUGCUACCGAUGUGUGACCACAGGCGGACAAAAACGUCAUCCCCCAAACCUGACCUUUCACAGGGAGGAGAGCGUGAGCUGUGCACGGCACGGAGACGGGAGCGAUAGCUUUUUAAUGUAAUGGCUUGUAAUGGAGCUACCAAUGAGUAACUAAUGACUCAUUGUGGUCUAUGAAUGGUCUGUGAAAACACCCCUGAGAUCGCUGGAGGUGACACACACUAUACUUGGUGCAUUACAAGAGCAAAAAUGCAGGUUGUUUGUAAUGGAUCAUUACUGCAGUAAUGCCACCAGAUAAUGGAACAGCUAUCAUCACUCGCAACACCUGUAGACAGACAGACAGACAGAUACGCAUACACACACACACACACACACACACACACACACACACACACACACACACACACACACACACACACACACACUUACAUCUUGAAGUAAUUGGCCCGUUUUAGUGAAGCCACUGGAUAAUGGCCUGUGCUGCCACCAGGGGAAGCCACUUGCUAUGAGUCUGCUCUCUGCUGGACAGAUCCGCUAAACGUGUGCAGGGCUAACAGCGGCUUUAUCUCCUCUCUCCCUUUUUCCUCCUUUUUUUAUUUUCUAAAUAUAGCCAGACGCAUUUAUAAAUGUCAGCGUGGCCCUUUAUCUUACCAACGGGCCUGGAACAAGUCAGAGAAAGACAAAGUCAAGGCCUUUUUCUCUUCCCAUGUCAGUUAUGGAUUCCUGGAACUACACUGAAAGUGUUUUUUCUUCAGGGGGAACAUUAUUUUGAGGAGUCCUAUGAUGAUGUUGAUUUUAAAUGACAAAAUGAACUAUCGCCCCCCGUAAAUUGUAAUCCAGACAUACAUGAUAUAUUAUCCGACAUCUGCUCUGCAAGUUUUGUUUUCUAUUGCAUAAAAUGCUGUGCGUCUAAUUUCAUGUGAUAUUUAGUGGUGCAGAGAUUACUCCAACUCCAUCGCGUUCUCGACCCCCCUCUGGGCUGAAUGUCUCUUCUGCAGAUUGUUGAAGUGGUAUUAGUAAUAUAAUACUGGAAUAAAAGCACAGUGACUGUUUUUGAUAGACUGUUUUUGAAAAAAAAAGGGUUUUGCUGCAGCUGCUUUAGACAAAAACAUAUUCAACUGUAAAAACCUUCAACUCAGUCGUUCAAGAGCAAGGAAGCGAAGUCUGGGGGAGGAUCACGAUUUAUACAGUUGUGUUGGAAAAUUCUGCUCCAUUGCAUUAAUAAGUUGAUAAACUCUGGUAACAAGUCAUCAGCUUACUCCUGGUUAUUUUAUUGUUCUGGCACUAUAAACUCGAAAACCUGGAGUAUAUUGACAUGGAGGAGAAUCAAAAAUGAGGAGAAUGGUGGGAAAAAGGCUAUUGUUGAACGAGCCACCGCUUUCAACUGUCCCCCCUCGACUCUGGGCCGCAGCGAUGUUUCCAGCUGAGGCCAUUACUGUAUAAUCUGAAGGCGUUUUACAUUCACAUUAAACAAUACAAGUUGGAACCGUUUUUUAUUAAUGGCCUUAGUUGGCAGAGGGGCAGCGAACAGCUGGAAGGUUUUAAAAACGGGCAUUUAACAAAACACAGUCUCAUACACUUUCCUGAUUCUCUCCAAGGCUUCCAGGAGUCUGCUGUUAAAAAUGUGCUGGGAUGUCAGGAUGUCAGUGUUUUGUUACAAAAUCCACUGGAAACAAUUGCUAUCCCUAAUUACAAGCAGUUUAAUAUCGAUUAUUAUUAUUAUUAUUUUUAGUGUAGACCAGUGCAUUGGACACAAGCGUGAUGAUUCUUCUCAUGCAGAGCUUUGAUUCAAAGGUGUCGCUUUCUGCAGGAUUUACCCCCGUGAUGCACGAGCUUCGCAUCCUGCAUCUGCAAGCUGUUUAACCCGCUUCACUGACGGCGCCGCCAGUAAAUGUACACUUCAUUCUACACAUUAUAGGCUUUUCUCAGGGCCAAAAAAGUAUAAGGGCCCAACAGCACCACGCGCCGCGGGGGAGCAGGUUUAUAAGGGUUAAUUUUGUCUGCUAAUGGCCCCAUGUGAUGCAGAUUAUGUGGAGGAAGUGGUGUUUCUGGGCAGAAGACCACCGGUGGUAGACCACCACCCAGGAUGACACUGCUUUAAUUCCCUCUGCGCGAUGGGGCUUUAUUCACCACUCGCUUCACACAAUAGCGACGAGGUCCUGGUGGUAAAUUUCCAUUUUAUGAUUUCAUCAAUACAGACACACUCUCCUGGCAAAUUAACUGUCCUGCAGGGUUGUGUCAUCGCUGCCUUGGCUGAUAUUACUUUUAAAUGACUUGUUAUUAUGGGACUAAGGACCGUUCCCCGGUCCUCCACCCAAUCCUUUCGCUGUCUGCUCUACUCUAUCUGCAACAAUUCGCCGCGCUGGCCCAGUGCUUCAAGUUGUCAUUAUUUAAAAAUUACAAUAAAUGAGAAAGCUCCAGAACUUAAUUAACUAGGAAUAGUUGAAAUUCACAUCAGGCCUCCACAGACGCGACACAGUAAAGAUUUUGGAACAUUUUUC
RNA transcript from Betta splendens (Siamese fighting fish), 2760 nucleotides. RefSeq lists it as uncharacterized. The transcript has 4 exons. NCBI's taxonomy places the organism in Eukaryota, Metazoa, Chordata, Actinopteri, Anabantiformes, Osphronemidae. The record is from RefSeq and is a predicted model, not a curated record.